GACGAACGCUGGCGGCGUGCCUAAUACAUGCAAGUAGAACGCUGAAGGAGGAGCUUGCUUCUCUGGAUGAGUUGCGAACGGGUGAGUAACGCGUAGGUAACCUGCCUGGUAGCGGGGGAUAACUAUUGGAAACGAUAGCUAAUACCGCAUAAGAGUAGAUGUUGCAUGACAUUUGCUUAAAAGGUGCAAUUGCAUCACUACCAGAUGGACCUGCGUUGUAUUAGCUAGUUGGUGAGGUAACGGCUCACCAAGGCAACGAUACAUAGCCGACCUGAGAGGGUGAUCGGCCACACUGGGACUGAGACACGGCCCAGACUCCUACGGGAGGCAGCAGUAGGGAAUCUUCGGCAAUGGACGGAAGUCUGACCGAGCAACGCCGCGUGAGUGAAGAAGGUUUUCGGAUCGUAAAGCUCUGUUGUAAGAGAAGAACGAGUGUGAGAGUGGAAAGUUCUCACUGUGACGGUAUCUUACCAGAAAGGGACGGCUAACUACGUG
This 495-nucleotide ribosomal RNA is filed under the name uncultured bacterium. RNAcentral's name for it is "partial 16S ribosomal RNA". It matches the Rfam family "Bacterial small subunit ribosomal RNA", at positions 28 to 507 of the family's 1533-position model. The record is from RNAcentral.